Molecule: signal recognition particle RNA, 85 nt
Filed under: Pseudomonas sp. P42
Lineage: Bacteria; Pseudomonadati; Pseudomonadota; Gammaproteobacteria; Pseudomonadales; Pseudomonadaceae
Also listed under: 4 other names
Description: signal recognition particle sRNA small type
Rfam family: Bacterial small signal recognition particle RNA
About the family: The signal recognition particle (SRP) is a universally conserved ribonucleoprotein involved in the co-translational targeting of proteins to membranes. Archaeal SRP consists of a 7S RNA and homologues of the eukaryotic SRP19 and SRP54 proteins.
Source: RNAcentral
UAAGGCCCGCAACGAUUACCCGUGAACCUGGUCAGAGCCGGAAGGCAGCAGCCACAGCGGGAACAUUGUGUGCCGGGGUGUGGCU